RNAcentral lists this long non-coding RNA (530 nucleotides) under Phoenix dactylifera (date palm). RNAcentral describes it as "long non-coding RNA (PDAC_LNC021623)". The record is from RNAcentral. Lineage: Eukaryota; Viridiplantae; Streptophyta; Magnoliopsida; Arecales; Arecaceae.
UCGUAAAUAAAAUUCUAGUUCACUACUUAAAGAUGAAGAAGAUGAAGAUAAACUUGAAGCAUGUGUGUGUUUUCUCUAUGCAAUGAAUGAAAAAAUAGAUGACGAACGAGAACUACUAGAAGAAGAAAUAGAGCUUUGUAUGGAGAAUCUAGAUCCACGAAUUUUUUCAUCAUAUAUAGCAUAAAUAUCAUAAAGAAGUUGUUUUACCUCAUUUUUAGCAGGUUUAGGAUCUUGAUUCAUAUUUUCACAGUAUGCGUCAAGUAAAAUUAGCACGCCAUUCAAUUUAACUCUUGGAUCAAAUACAGCAGCUAAGUUAUGCAUAGGACAUAUCUUGUCCCAAUACUCAUUCCAUUUAGAUUCUAUUUGGUCAAUAAUAGGCAUUAAAAUAUCAUCAUAUCUAUGUUCUGCAAAUUUUUGACUAAUUAUAUAUGCUUGUUGUAAAAAUGAACAUGAAGUUGGAUAAUAAAUACCAGAAAGAACAUUGGUAGCAUUAUAAAAACUAAGCAAAAAAUCUUCCAAAAUUUUUCUUU